AAAAAUCGAGUUCUCUUGCUUUAAAGCAUGAACACAAAUUGUUUAGUUUGUUUGUAGUAAAUAAAUUUGACAUUUGACACAAAAUGUAAUGUAGUUUUUAUAUUCUUAUAUACUUUAUGUUAAUAUAUUAGUUGUGUCACUCACUAUAGAUAUUAUUUGAAAAUUUUUUAUGAGAGAAGAUAACUUUUAAACACUAAUACAUAUUUUAUUCCAGCUUCUUGUAAAAUUUCUAAUAUUCAAUAGCAAAGCCUAUUUUCAAAAAAAUAAAAAAAAAAUUGUUUAAAAUAGUUAAAAUUUAAUUACAGUAGAACAAACUAUUUGUGGACAAAACAGAAGUAUAACAAACACUCCAUAUAUUCUCAAACAACGGAGUAUGAAUCCGUAGCUCAGUUGCCUCCCUUACAUUUAGAUUCAUAUAAUUCUUUGGAAAGUGGACAUAUUUACUCUGUCCGAAGCACUUGAAUUCAAAUCAACCCAAUGUUGAUGCACUUGAUCACUUUAUGAUAAUUUCAGUGAGUUUGUUAAUGAAUAAGGAAUAAGCCCGGAUGGUGAAGAUGACGUUGAUUGCUCGUGUUGCU
RNAcentral lists this long non-coding RNA (578 nucleotides) under Brassica rapa (field mustard). RNAcentral's name for it is "long non-coding RNA (BRAP_LNC006967)". The record is from RNAcentral. Lineage: Eukaryota; Viridiplantae; Streptophyta; Magnoliopsida; Brassicales; Brassicaceae.